CGGGUGAGUAACGCGUGAGUAACCUGCCUUUCAGAGGGGGAGUAACGUUCUGAAAAGAACGCUAAUACCGCACAAGAUUGUAGUUUCGCAUGGAGCAGCAAUCAAAGGAGCAAUCCGCUGAAAGAUGGACUCGCGUCCGAUUAGAUAGUUGGCGGGGUAACGGCCCACCAAGUCGACGAUCGGUAGCCGGACUGAGAGGUUGAUCGGCCACAUUGGGACUGAGACACGGCCCAG
This 234-nucleotide ribosomal RNA is filed under the name uncultured bacterium. Its description in RNAcentral is "partial 16S ribosomal RNA". It matches the Rfam family "Bacterial small subunit ribosomal RNA", at positions 103 to 334 of the family's 1533-position model. The record is from RNAcentral.